CUAGAUGGUUCUUUAAACACUAUGGGGUCAGGAAUAAAAGUUUUUGUGUGUUCCUGACCCUAUAGACUUUUAAAGACCAUAUCAAAUUUUAGGCCAAAAUAGGUUAAUUGGAAAUAUUAUCCAAGUCAGUUAUGUUUACAGUUUGGUUUUUUUGGCCUUUGAAUUUUAAUUUUGAAUUUCACUUUAAAUUUUUAACAAUUCACACUUUAGU
Non-coding RNA from Pelobates cultripes (western spadefoot toad), 211 nucleotides. The record is from the annotation of a GenBank genome assembly. Lineage: Eukaryota; Metazoa; Chordata; Amphibia; Anura; Pelobatidae.